Molecule: non-coding RNA, 106 nt
Filed under: Alexandrium tamarense
Lineage: Eukaryota; Dinophyceae; Gonyaulacales; Pyrocystaceae
Source: RNAcentral
CGCUCAUUCCGAACUUCUCGCUGGGAGGAGCCAAGCCGACGGACCCGGCAAUCAGGGCCCUCACAGCAGCGGUGGACGGUGUGCUUCCUGAGGCUGGCUUCACGGA